Molecule: long non-coding RNA, 533 nt
Filed under: Parus major (Great Tit)
Lineage: Eukaryota; Metazoa; Chordata; Aves; Passeriformes; Paridae
Description: lncRNA (ENSPMJG00000003322.1)
Source: RNAcentral
CUAUAAAAUAGCAGCAGAUUUGAACUGGUGCAGUCUCUACGAAAACGAUGUUUGUAUCUGCUCCUUCUGUUCAUAAAGGUUCCAAAGGGUCAGAUCCUGGUAAAUGAAACAAAACCUGAGUCCGAAGGAGCUUUCCUGUGAUAAACUGCAUUGAACCACAACUCAACUGGAUACUACCUUUGUCUUCUGUGGUGAUGAAUAUAAUAAAAUCAAAAGGCUGACAGUAAGAGCACACAGAGAGAAGCACGAGAGUUCUAAAAGCUACUUUUGCAAGCCCAGAUGUGAAAGCGUGGUGCAUAAUCUCUCCUGUUAACUUCUGUUUCUCUAAUAGAAAGGUGAAGGAAGGACAAUCCCAUUUUAUUUUAGUGGAUACAGAAGUACUACAGUUGUGCAUGAGCGUUCCUUGGGAUCUGGAAAAGGACCUUCAGAUCCCUUCAGGCUAUCCCAGUGGCCUUACUCUUGAAGAGGAGAGCGCAAGGAGCCUUCUCUUCUGCACCUAGAAUAAAAAGUGAGCACAUUCCUUCUGACUGGCA